AUACGGAGGAUGCGAGCGUUAUCCGGAUUUAUUGGGUUUAAAGGGUGCGUAGGCGGGCUGUUAAGCGUGAGGUGAAAGCUCGGGGCUCAACCCCGGAACUGCCUCGCGAACUGGCGGUCUUGAAUGUCCGUGCCGUGGGAGGAAUGUGUGGUGUAGCGGUGAAAUGCAUAGAGAUCACACAGAACACCGAUUGCGAAGGCAUCUCACGAACGGAUGAUUGACGCUGAGGCACGAAAGCGUGGGGAUCAAACAGGAUUAGAUACCCUGGUAGUCCACGCAGUAAACGAUGAUGACUAACCGUCGGCGAUACACAGUCGGUGGCCAAGCGAAAGCGAUAAGUCAUCCACCUGGGGAGUACGUUCGCAAGAAUGAAACUCAAAUGAAUUGACGGGG
RNAcentral lists this ribosomal RNA (393 nucleotides) under uncultured bacterium. RNAcentral describes it as "partial 16S ribosomal RNA". It matches the Rfam family "Bacterial small subunit ribosomal RNA", at positions 523 to 918 of the family's 1533-position model. The record is from RNAcentral.